UACGUAGGGUGCAAGCGUUGUCCGGAAUUAUUGGGCGUAAAGAGCUUGUAGGCGGUUUGUCGCGUCUGCUGUGAAAUUUCGGGGCUCAACCCCGAACUUGCAGUGGGUACGGGCAGACUAGAGUGUGGUAGGGGAGACUGGAAUUCCUGGUGUAGCGGUGAAAUGCGCAGAUAUCAGGAGGAACACCGGUGGCGAAGGCGGGUCUCUGGACCGAUACUGACGCUGAGGAGCGAAAGCGUGGGGAGCGAACAGG
Molecule: ribosomal RNA, 253 nt
Filed under: uncultured bacterium
Lineage: Bacteria
Description: partial 16S ribosomal RNA
Rfam family: Bacterial small subunit ribosomal RNA
Source: RNAcentral